CAGGAGAACUGGAGGACAAACCCACGCAGGAUUCAAUAGGAAGCACAUCUGCAGAGAAAGCUGCAGCAAAUGCGCUCCGUCCUUCUCAGGAGCACUUCAGAAGGAGCUGCACGUCUCAUAGCUCUGGAGCAGCACUUCUUCCCCACCCUUCACUACUCCAAGCAGCUCCAACAAACUUCUCAGAAGAAAUCCAGGCCAGCACAGACCUGGCAGACCAGAACCAAGUGCAGCUUGUGUGACGGCAGUGCCCACUCCUUGCUUCCACCCUGCUCCAGCAGGUUAAGGAGUCUGAGCCUCACUGGCCUUUGACAACUCAAGACUUUUUUGGUUCCAGGGGGGGCCCCAAAGAACCAAAAAAAAAAACAAAAAAAAACGGCGGCGCCCCCCCCUGUACGCCUGCGAUGGGCAACAUUUCUCACUAAGAUACACCUCAGGCAUUGAAUUCUCUUCUCACUACCUCCUCCCAGUCCUCCCCUAGGAACAGAAACCAUUCAGAUUCUACAGCAAACACAUCUACCCUGCAAGAGCACACUGAACCACCUGCAACAAUGAAACAUGGUUUUGGAGAGUGGGUUUGAAAACACACCUUUAGACAGCUGUCUCCCUGUAGCCAAAAGGAAACCAAGCAGCAAAAGAAGAGUCCAGCCUGAAACAUGCCCAUGCUACUAGCCCAGGUUUUUCACAGUCAAUGCAGAAUCCAUCCUGUUCUUGAGGUAACAAAUGACCAGUGGGUCUCCCCUUGCUCCACCCCUUCUCCUUCAAAGCCAGAAAAAGAAAGAAAAACAAGUAGAAGAAAACCCAGACGUACCUUUCCACACACAAAGCAGAAAGUGGAACAGCAGUUGUCUCCUUCCUGAGACAUGGUGGGGCGCAUCCCAGAGGAAGCCCAAUCAUAGAAUGGCCCGGGUUGGAAGGGACCUCAAGGAUCAUGAAGAUCAAUCACCUCCCUGUCCCUGCUGGCCAUCCCCUCUUCUGAUGGAGCCCAGGGGACCAUUUGCUCUCUGAGCUGCAAGAGCACGCUGAUGGCUCACGUUCUGUUUUUCAUCCACCAGGACCCCCAGGUCCUUCUCUGCGGGGCUUCUCUUUAAGGGAUCUGCUCCUUCGCCCAGUCUGUAGAAAUGCCUGGGAUUCCUCCAGCCCAAGUGCAAAACCUUGCACUUUGCUGUGUUCAACCUCAUUAGAUUCACGUAGGCCAACCUCUCGGUUGAGCUCCCUCUGAAUGGCAUCCCUUCCUUCCACUGCGUCAGCCGCACCACUCAGCAAACAGCAGAGGGUGCACUCCAUUGCAUCAUUGGUGUCUCUGAUAACCAUGUAAAAAAGCACUGGUCCCAAGACAGACUCCUGGAUGACACCAUCUGUGGUUUAAUCGGCCCUGACCAUUCCCACCCCUGGGACAUCAAACCAUGAUCACCCACCAUCCCCUCAUUGCAAAUCCUGCUAUCAAAACCUCUUUGUCUUCUACUCCUGCUGCAGCUGCAAUGGCUGCACCAGCAUGACUCACGUGUUUGACAAUCCUCCAGCUCUGGCCUAGCCAUGCACAGCAGCAGUCCGUCUCCCUCCCAGCUCACUCACCAGUGUGCUGCUGUGCCCCAAAUUCAGUGCAGCAGCAUUGAGAGCAGGCAGCACCCAUCACCCUCCUCUAACUCUCUCUGCCAGCUGCGAUGAGGACUGACACAGCACGCCCACCCCAGCCCAGCUUUUCUGCUGAGACACCUCCCAGCAACCACCCAGCACCAAUCCCAGUUGCUGCAAACUGUCUGAGAGCCUGCUGGAGUGCACUGACAAUAACUUUGUGGGCCAAGCAUUAAGCACACCAAGCAGAAGGGAAGCAUUACUGGACAUGCUGAACAAGGUGCAAGGCGGUAAGUACUGGCGACGUGG
This 1881-nucleotide long non-coding RNA is filed under the name Coturnix japonica (Japanese quail). RNAcentral's name for it is "lncRNA (ENSCJPG00005015476.1)". The record is from RNAcentral. Lineage: Eukaryota; Metazoa; Chordata; Aves; Galliformes; Phasianidae.